ACAGAUUCUCUCUGAGCCAAAUGGGUUAAGGGAGAAGUGAUGGAGGCGAUUCGAAGCUGUCUUUCCUACCCUCUUCAGUACCUCUUCCAGUGAUGUGAAGUUAAAACCAGAGAUGGAGUCUCCCUGUGUUGCCCAGUCUGGUCUUGAGAGCUUCAGUUUUAAAUAAUAAAUUGUUCUCGUCUUUCUAAAUUUCAAUCAAAACACAGGAUGUAUUUUAAAAGGGAAAAACUGUGAGGUAAAAGAAUAGGGUGAGGGGAGGAAAGAAAUAACUUCAUAGAGAAAAAUUCAAUGAACCCUUGGAAGAAAAUAUAUGGAAGUAUGGUUACUGACUUGGGAAAGAAGAGAAAGGUACAAUGUAACUGCACAUAGAAGCCAGUCCUGAAAAGAAGCAAGCCGGCUGAAGUUAUCUGCAACUCAGAAGCACUUGGUACCACCCAAGGGGAGAUAAGAGGAGAUCUCAUCAGAGGUGCCUGAAAAGCACCUCAGCCGAAGGCCUCACAUAGAGAGACCUAAGAAUGAAGGCACCUGGACUAGGAAUGUGAAUAUGUGAAAGAACAUGACCGGCCAGGGGCCCUGAGUUAUUGAAUGCAACCCCCUUCAGACACUGCAACACACAGGCUGUGCACCAAGCCUAGUAUGGGAAGGACAGCUUUUCUUCAUGAGGCCUGCCAGGUAAAGCCAGCUAUGAAACAGGAAGUUGACCUUCACCAGACACUGAACCUACUGGCACCUUGAUCUUGGACUUCCCAGCCUUACAAACUGUAAGAAAUAAAUGUCUGUUGUUCAUAAGCCACAUAGUUUGUGAUAGUUUGUUAUGGCCACCUGAACAGACUUAGGCAGGGUGCCUCAUUAUAACCUGGCAAGGGUGUAAAUUUAGGUGGUUCCCUUCUUGGACUUUUCUGGUGGAAGUGGAGGUAGGGCCACAGCUUUUGGGUGUGUGUGUGUGUGUGUGUGUGUGUGUGUGUGUGUGUGGAAGCAGAAAAUGUGGUGUUUGGUGGAAGCAGAAAAUGUAUUGUCUAGAUGUUUUCUCUCUUAUUAUAAUAGAUUACCCCUUUCAUGGUCUUUUGGCUAGACAGAGUAACCUUUUUGGGGGUCUUUUUCAUCAGUGCCCAUUGGUGCUUUCAAGUCAAUGGCUUCUUUAGCUCCAAAAAGGUACACAAAGACAACUCUGGGACCUCACCACCAUAUCAUUCCUUAAAUUCAUAGUCUGCCUUCUUCUCUCCAUCUUUCAAGAUAUUUUUAUGUUUAUAUGUUAUCUAGAGUUCUAAAUUUUACUUAGCAGGAGGAAUAGGGAAAAAUACAACUACUCUAUCAUCCUGGCAACAGUUUAAUAUUUAAAAUAUGUAUUUUUUAAAAUCAGAUAAAAUACAUGUUUUUUUGAAAGAUUUAGUUCAAUCACAAGUUACUUCAGGAAGUUUUUCCUAAUCUCUCAGUCUUAGGUUAGGGCCCUGAUAAGGUUUGACUCUGUGUCCCCACCCCAAUCUCACUGUACUCCCAUAAUUUCCACAUGUCCCCAUCCCAAUCUCAUCUUUAAUUAUAUUCCCAUAAUUUCCACAUGUUGUGGGAGGGACCCAGUGGGAAACAAUUUGAAUCAUGGGGGUGGUUCCCCCAUACUGUUCUCAGGGUAGUGAGUAAGUCUCACAAGAUCUGAUGCUUUUAUCAGGGGUUUCUGCUUUUGCAUCUUUCUCAUUUUCUCUUGCCGCUGCCAUGUAAGAAGUGCCUUUCACCUCCCACCAUGAUUCUGAGGCCUCCCCAGCCUUGUGGAAAUGUAAGUCCAAUUGAACCUCUUUUUCUUCCCAGUCUUGGGUAUGUCUUUAUCAGCAGCAUGAAAAUGGACUAAUACAGUAAAAUGGUACCAGUGGAGUGGGGUAUUGCUGAAAAGAUACCCAAAAAUGUGGAAGAGACUUUGAAACUGGAUGACAGGCAGAGGUUGGAACAGUUUUGAGGGCUUAGAAGAAGAAAGGAAAACGUGGGGAAGUUUGGAACUUCCUAGAGAUUUGUUGAAUGGCUUUGACCAAAAACCUGAAAGUGAUAUGGACAAUAAGGUCCAGGCUGAGGUGGUCUCAAAUGGAAAUGAGGAACUUUUUGGGGACUGGAUGCAAAGGUGAUUCUUGUCACGAUUUAGCAAAGAGACUGGCAGCACUUUGCCCCUGCCCUAGAGAUCUGUGGAACUUUGAACUUGAGAGAGAUGAUUUAGGGUAUCUGGCAGAAGAAAUUUCUAAGCAGCAAAGCAUUUCAGAUGUGACUUGGGUGCUGUUAAAGGCAUUCGGUUUUAUAAGGGAAGCAGAGCAUGAAAGUUUGGAAAAAUUGCAGCCUGACAAUGUGAUAGAAAAGAAAACUUCAUUUCUGAGGAGAAAUUCAAGCUGGCUUCAUAAAUUUGCAUAAGCAAUGAGGAGCCAAAUGUUCAUCCCCAAGACAAUGGGGAAAAUGUCUCCAGGGCAUGUCAGAGGUCUUCAUAACAGCCCCUGCCAUCACAGGCCUGGAGGCCUGAGAGAAAAUGGUUUCAUGGGCCAGGCCCAGGGUCUCCAUGCUGUGUGCAGCCUAGGGACUUGUUGCCCUGCAUCCCAGCUGCUCCAGCCAUGGCUGAAAGGGGCCAACAUAGAGCUCGGACUGUGGCUUCAGAGGGUGGAAGCCCCAAGCCUUGACAGCUUCCACGUGGUGUUGAGCCUACAGGUGCACAGAAGUCAAGAACUGGGGUUUGGGAACCUCCGCCUAGAUUUUAGAAGAUGUAUAGAAACACCUGGAUGCCCAGGCAGAAGUUUGCUGCAGGGGUGGGGAGUUCAUGGAGAACCUCUACUAGGGCAGCAUGGAAGGGAAAUGUGGGGUCAGAUCCCCCACACAGAGUCCCUCCUGGGGCACUGCCUAGUGGAGCUGUGAGAAGAGGGCCACUGUCCUCCAGACCCCAGAAUGGUAGAUCCACCGACAGCUUGCACCAUUUGCCUGGAAAAACGGCAGACACUCAAUUCCAGCCCAGGAAAGCAGCCAGGAGGGAGGCUAUACCCUGCAAAACCACAGGGGUGGAGCUGCCCAAGACCAUGGGAGCCCACCUCUUGCAUCAGCAUGACCUGGAUGUGAGACCUGGAGUCAAAGGAGAUCAUUUUGGAGUUUUAAAAUUUGACUGCCCCACUGGAUUUGGGACUUGCAUGGGCCCUGUAACCCCUUUGUUUAGGCCAAUUUCUCCCAUUUGGAAUGGCUGUAUUUACCCAAUACCUGUACUGCCAUUGUAUCUGGGAAGUAACUAGCUUGCUUUUGACUUUACAAGCUCAUAGGUGGAAGAGACAUGCUUUAUCUCAGAUGAGACUUUGGACUGUGGGCUUUUGGGUUAAUGCUGGAAUGAGUUAAUACUUUGGGGGACUGUUGGAAGGGCAUGAUUGUGUUUUGAAAUGUGAGGACAUGAGAUUUGGGUGGGGCCAGGGGCAGAAUGAUAUGGUUUGGCUCUGUCUCCCCACCCAAAUCUCACCUUGAAUUUUAAUAAUCCCCAUGGUCAAGGGCAGUAGCAGGUGGAAAUAAUUGAAUCAUGGGAACAGUUUCCUCCAUACUAUUGGCAUGAUAGUGAGUGAGUUCUCACCAGAUCUGAUGGUUUUGCAAGGGGUUUCCCUCUUUGCUUGGUUUUCAUUUUUCUCCUGCCUACUGCCAUGUAAGACGUGCCUUUGCUCUUCCUCACCUUCCACCAUGAUUGUAAGGCCUCCCCAGACAUGUGGAACUACAGAAUUGGUUUUGUCUGUGUCUUUGUUAAAGAUGGCUCAAGUGACCAGUUUCAUAGGAAACAGACUGUGCAAGUGACCUCAAGAGUGCAGAUGCUGUGGCUUAUCACGGGUAGAAAAAAUAUUCAUAAGUCUGAGGAAAUGUUUAAUUUCCUGUUCUCCAGCCUCCAUGGUAAGGAGUCUUUUACAUUUAUAGGCUCCCUUCUUUCCAGCAUCUGUGACAUAACUUUCAGGAGACUAAAAGCAAAAUCCACCAUAUUGAUUGUCUCCUAGCCCUGUGGGCGAUUCCCAGUAACUGGAUCAGACAGACUCAUCCCAAACCUUGUACCUCAAUUCUGAUCGUUCUAUCCCUGUCUAACAAAUUUUGUGUCAGUUCUGGUCACCAUCCAGAACUCAAGAAGAUUAAGCCAUGAUCCUAGGCAUUACCCUAGACUUCUUCAUCGCCCAACAGAAUCAUCACCAGAUUCUAUUCAGUUUAAUUCCUAAACCUCACUUGAAUCCAAUUCUCAUUAACCACAGUUUGAGCCAUUAUCAGUUCACAGCUGUCUUAUUAUCACAGCCUCUAAAUUCCUCUGCCAGCCUCCAGGUUUGCUGCUCUCAAAUUAUUCUCUGCAGCCAGAGUAAUCAUCAUUCUAAAUGAUCCACCCUCUUCUUAAAGUCCUUUAGUAACUUCCUCCUGCUCCCCAAAUAAACUUCAAACUCCUUAGCAAGAAUAAAGGGCUCGACCUGACGUGACCCUGAUAACCACACUGACUUGGUACUGCUCACCCUUCCACUCACACCUACCUGCAAUCUGCACUCCAGAAAUGUUGAACUACUUGCAGUUCCCCCAAACAAGCCUUUCUCUUUCUCACUUCUUGGCCUAUGUUCAUGCCGAGAACAUAACCUGUUGCCCACUCAUCCUUUGGGUCCCUGUUUACAUGGCACCUCCUCAAGGAACCCUUUGAUUGCCCAAAAUGAGUUAUAUGCCUUUCGAAAUGACCUCAUAGAAACCUGUACUUUACCCUGUGAUGGAAAUCUUGCUGAGGUAUAAUUGCCCACUUACUUACCUUUGUCUGCCCUUGGACAGUAAGCACCAGAAGGUCAAGGUGUAAGUAGAUCUCAUCACCUCUGCAUCCUCACAUCCAAUACAUAUCCUGGCAUAUCAAAGCUCCACCAUAAAUAUUGGCUGAAUUAGCAUAUAAACACCCAGGCUUUAGAAAUGAAGUCAUGCCUCCAUCUUUCUGCUUUCCCUUGCACCCUUCAGGGAGAGUAAUCCUGCCUAAUCUCCAGUCCUGUGGAUGGACUCUGUUUAAAAUCCUUCCAUGUCUUCUCCCUAAUCAUAGAAUAAAGUCCAAAUCCCUUAAUAUGACCUAAAAACUCAAUUCCGCUGGGUCCCUGUUCCAUUACCACUUGUGGUAACCAGCCUCCAAGAUGGCCCCCAAUGACCCCAGCCUCCUGGUCUUCACAUCUUUGUCCCUCCCGCAUUGUAUCAAUAUUAGUCUGUGUGACCAACAGCACAUAGUAGAAGUGACAACAUACAACUCCUGCACUCAGGUCAUAAAAGCCAUCAAGUCUUCUGCCUCUCUCUCUUGAGGAUUGCUUACUCUACAGGAAGUUAGCUGCCAUGUCAUGAGCAACCCUAUGGAGAGACCCAUGUGGUGAGGAAGCAAAGUCUCUACAGCAGUGAAGAACUGAAGCCUCCGGCCAACAGUCAUACACCGGCACCUUUGUGGAAGCAGAUCCUCCAACCCCAGUCAAUCCUUCAAAUUACUACAGCCCCAACCAAUAUUUUGGUUGCAACCCCAUGAGAGACCUUGAGCCAAAAAUCACCAGCUAAGCCACUCCAGAAUAGCUGACUCCAGAAAUGAUGAGAUAAUAAAUGAUUACUGUCUUAAGCCACUGAGCUCUAGAGUAAUUUAUUAUCCAGCAAUAAAUAGCAUUCUAGCCCUGCCAUAGCCCACUGCCCCUUGUGAGGCUUUUCUCAAUUCCAGAACUAUGCCAGGCCCCCUCUGGCCUGGGGCCCUUCUCACAUGCUGUUUCUUUGCCUUUCUUCACCAGGACAAUUGCUUUUUUUUUUUUUUAGAUGGAAUUUUGCUUUCGUCGCCCAGGCUGGAGUGCAAUG
This 5808-nucleotide long non-coding RNA is filed under the name Homo sapiens (human). RNAcentral's name for it is "non-protein coding LINC02345:27". The record is from RNAcentral. Lineage: Eukaryota; Metazoa; Chordata; Mammalia; Primates; Hominidae.